This 412-nucleotide ribosomal RNA is filed under the name uncultured bacterium. RNAcentral describes it as "bacterial SSU rRNA". It matches the Rfam family "Bacterial small subunit ribosomal RNA", at positions 954 to 1368 of the family's 1533-position model. The record is from RNAcentral.
GCUAAACGCGAAGAACCUUACCAAGGCUUGACAUAUACCGUUUAUCCCUAGAGAUAGGGAGUCCUUCGGGGCGGUAUACAGGUGGUGCAUGGUUGUCGUCAGCUCGUGUCGUGAGAUGUUGGGUUAAGUCCCGCAACGAGCGCAACCCUCGUUCUAUGUUGCCAGCGCGUAAUGGCGGGGACUCAUAGGAGACUGCCGGGGUCAACUCGGAGGAAGGUGGGGAUGACGUCAAAUCAUCAUGCCCCUUAUGUCUUGGGCUUCACGCAUGCUACAAUGGCCGGUACAAAGGGCUGCAAUACCGCAAGUGGAGCGAAUCCCAAAAAGCCGGUCUCAGUUCGGAUUGAGGUCUGCAACUCGACCUCAUGAAGUCGGAGUCGCUAGUAAUCGCAGAUCAGCAACGCUGCGGUGAAUA